CGCCUAGGCUGGAGCGCCGUGGUACAGUCUUGACUCACUGCAAUUCUGCCUCCUGGGUUCAAGUGAUUCUUGUGCCUCAGCCAUUGAGUAGCUGGGAUGACAGGCACAUGCCUAGCUAAUUUUUGUAUUUUUUGUAGAGACGGGGUUUCGCCAUGUUGACCAGGCUGGUCUUGAACUCCUGAACUCAAUUGAUCCACCCGCCUUGGCCUCCCAAAGUGCUGGGAUUACAGGCAUGAGCCACUGCACCCAGCAAUGAGUAGUCUUAAUGAGGAAAGUAGGUCAUAGUAAUCUGCAGAAUACUGUAGAUAAAGAAACUGAGAAAAACCUGUUUGGUUCCCAUUUAGCAAAUAUCUAUAUUCCUUAUAAUAUGUCUAUUUCUCCUAAGAAACUUUCCACUUUAGACACUUGUAAGAAAAAUCAAAAUUGGUUGUUAUUGCAGUUGUUUGUCUUAUUUCACUUUUUUUUCCCCGGGUUUCCCUUCAGUAAUCAGUUCAAGAAGUUCCCUCAGAUGACCUCAUAUCACCGGAUGCUAUUACACCGGGUAGCUGCCUAUUUUGGGAUGGACCACAAUGUUGAUCAAACUGGGAAAGCUGUCAUCAUCAACAAAACUAGUAACACAAGAAUCCCUGAACAGAGGUUCUCAGAACAUAUAAAGGAUGAGAAGAAUACAGAAUUUCAACAGAGGUUCAUUCUCAAGAGAGAUGAUGCCAGUAUGGACCGAGAUGAUAACCAGGGGGAACCGUGAAGGGCUGAGCCGCACCUCAAGCAGCCGCCAGAGCAGCACAGACAGCGAACUCAAAUCCCUGGAGCCACGCCCUUGGAGCAGCACAGAUUCUGAUGGCUCUGUCCGGAGCAUGCGACCCCCUGUCACCAAAGCCAGCAGCUUCAGUGGAAUCUCUAUCCUUACCCGAGGUGACAGCAUCGGCAGCAGUAAAGGCGGCAGUGCGGGAAGGAUCUCCAGGCCAGGUAUGGCACUAGGUGCCCCAGAAGUGUGCAACCAGGUCACCUCAUCCCAGUCUGUGCGGGGGCUUCUCCCUUGUACUGCCCAGCAGCAACAGCAACAGCAGCAGCAGCAGCAACUUCCUGCUCUCCCACCCACGCCUCAGCAACAGCCACCCUUGAAUAAUCACAUGAUCUCACAGGCAGAUGACCUCAGCAACCCCUUUGGACAAAUGAGCCUUAGUCGCCAAGGUUCUACUGAAGCAGCUGACCCAUCUGCAGCUCUAUUCCAGACCCCACUUAUAUCCCAGCACCCUCAGCAGACUAGCUUCAUCAUGGCUUCCACGGGUCAGCCCCUCCCCACUUCCAACUAUUCCACCUCUAGCCAUGCACCACCUACUCAGCAAGUUCUGCCACCCCAGGGGUACAUGCAGCCCCCUCAACAGAUCCAGGUUUCUUACUAUCCCCCUGGACAAUAUCCUAACUCCAACCAGCAAUAUCGACCUCUCUCUCACCCGGUGGCCUAUAGCCCCCAACGUGGUCAGCAGCUGCCUCAGCCAUCCCAGCAGCCUGGUUUACAGCCCAUGAUGCCUAACCAGCAGCAGGCGGCUUACCAAGGCAUGAUUGGGGUCCAGCAGCCACAGAACCAGGGCCUGCUCAGCAGCCAGAGGAGCAGCAUGGGGGGCCAGAUGCAAGGCCUGGUGGUUCAGUACACUCCACUGCCUUCUUACCAAGUUCCAGUGGGUAGUGACUCGCAAAAUGUGGUCCAGCCGCCUUUCCAGCAACCCAUGCUGGUCCCUGUGAGCCAGUCUGUGCAAGGAGGCCUCCCAGCAGCGGGGGUACCAGUGUACUAUAGCAUGAUCCCACCUGCUCAGCAGAACGGUACGAGCCCUUCUGUAGGGUUUCUGCAACCCCCUGGCUCUGAGCAGUACCAAAUGUCUCAGUCUCCCUCUCCCUGCAGUCCACCACAGAUGCCACAGCAGUACUCAGGAGUGUCACCUUCUGGACCAGGUGUAGUGGUCAUGCAGCUGAAUGUCCCUAAUGGACCCCAGCCCCCUCAGAACCCAUCCAUGGUCCAGUGGAGUCAUUGUAAAUACUACAGCAUGGACCAGCGGGGGCAGAAGCCUGGAGACCUGUACAGUCCUGACAGCAGCCCCCAGGCCAACACACAAAUGAGCAGCAGCCCUGUCACAUCUCCUACCCAGUCUCCAGCACCCUCUCCUGUCACCAGCCUCAGCAGUGUCUGCACAGGACUCAGUCCCCUGCCUGUCCUCACACAGUUCCCCCGGCCUGGGGGUCCAGCACAGGGUGAUGGGCGCUACUCCCUUUUGGGCCAGCCAUUACAGUACAAUCUGUCCAUCUGCCCUCCAUUGCUCCAUGGCCAGUCAACUUACACGGUGCACCAGGGACAGAGUGGAUUGAAGCAUGGAAACCGGGGCAAGAGACAAGCACUCAAAUCUGCCUCCACUGACCUGGGGACAGCAGAUGUUGUCCUGGGGCGGGUGCUGGAGGUGACAGAUCUCCCUGAGGGCAUCACCCGUACCGAGGCGGACAAACUCUUCACACAGCUCGCCAUGUCCGGCGCCAAGAUCCAGUGGCUCAAGGAUGCUCAGGGGCUGCCUGGAGGGGGUGGGGGGGACAACAGUGGGACUGCUGAGAAUGGCCGCCACUCGGACCUCGCUGCCUUGUACACCAUUGUGGCUGUGUUCCCCAGCCCCCUGGCUGCCCAAAAUGCCUCCCUUCGUCUCAACAACUCCGUGAGUCGCUUCAAACUUCGAAUGGCCAAAAAGAACUAUGACCUGAGGAUCCUGGAGCGAGCCAGCUCCCAGUAAAUGGAGGAGGGGAAAGGGACUGUCACAGAAGGAGCAAGGGCAGGGUGGAGGGGGUUGAAGGAUCCUGACAGACCAUGGACAGAGGCAGGAAGUAAGGAAACUCAUGUUAAACUGGAGCCUAAGACAGUGAUGAAGAUGGAAACAGACAGAUACCCACACUGGCAUUGGACUCCUUCUUGCUCCCCUGCCAUGGGUCCCCUCUUUUUCCCUGGUUGACCCCCCUUGCAUCACUCUUCUUCCCAUCCUCUUCUUUUUUUUUUUGAGACGGAGUUUGGCUCUUGUCACCCAAGCUGGAGUACAGUGGGGCACGAUCUUGGCUAACUGCAACCUCCAGCUCCUGGGUUCAGGUGAUUCUCCUGCCUCAGCCUCCCAAGUAGCUGGCACUACAGACACGCGCCACCAUGCCCGGCUAAUUUUUGUAUUUUUAGUAGAGACGGAGUUUCACCAUGUUGGCCAGGCUGGUCUCAAACUCCUGACCUCAGGUGAUCCACCCGCCUUGGCCUUCCAGAGUGCUGGGAUUACAGGCAUGAGCCACUGUGCCCGGCCCCCAUCCUCGUCUAUCAUUUUUUAAAUCUCUUCUCCCAUCAUACAAUUAAUUUCUCUCACAUUUUUUGGUCAGGUAGAAUUGGGAAAGUCCCACACUGUCCUCCUAUUACCUUAACAUCCCAAGCUUCCUUUCCUUUUUUGGUCUUUAUGAAUAUAUUUAUAUGGACAGAAUUAAGAUAAACAAAAUUGAUUGCCCCAUUCUCGCACUUCCCCAUCUUGUCUUCCUAGACCCCACAGAGUUAAAACUUGGGACUCCCCCGGCCCCCCCAGAACACUUGUAUAUUGUUUGUUUGAGGUUCGUGCCACAGUAACAGACACAGUAUUUAAUUGCACAUACAGAUGUUUGCUGGGUAUAUUCACUGUAAAUUUUAUUUAAUCUGGUUUUUUGUUUGUUUGGGGGUUAUUUGGGGGGAGGUUGGUUUUGUUUUUAAAUAUAAAAAAAAAAAAAUCUGUCAUUGGACA
RNAcentral lists this small RNA (3779 nucleotides) under Pongo abelii (Sumatran orangutan). RNAcentral describes it as "retained intron". Lineage: Eukaryota; Metazoa; Chordata; Mammalia; Primates; Hominidae. The record is from RNAcentral.